This 557-nucleotide long non-coding RNA is filed under the name Anser brachyrhynchus (Pink-footed goose). RNAcentral's name for it is "lncRNA (ENSABRG00000001453.1)". The record is from RNAcentral. Lineage: Eukaryota; Metazoa; Chordata; Aves; Anseriformes; Anatidae.
CAAGGGCAGUUGCUUUCUGUACAUCGAGGUAAUUCUGUGUUAUCCUUUCACCUAUCGACUAGGCGCAUCUCAGAAUGGACAGUUUGCUAGCUCAUGCUGGGGAAUUAAGGGAUGUGGCUGAGUGUUGCUUGUAAUCGUCACCAAAAUGAGGGACUUUCUCAGCUCCACCACAGCCAGGCAGUGCGCAGUGCUUCUGGGAAGAGGAAGGCCCUUCUGUGGAGGAGUAACUCAGAGCAGCAAUGGACACAUCUUUUGCAACCUACUAACUGAUUGGUGAAUCAUCGUGUCGUGCUGUCAUUUGAAGAAGUGCAACAGAUGGAGAAACAGUCAUCUGUGAUCCAUCAGAAAACAUUUCAGGGUCGAAAUGGGUGUCAUGGGGCACCCUUACAGAGCGAUGGAAGGCAGCCUCUGAAGAAGGUCUGUAAGAACCCUGGAUCACAGAAUUUGUGGUAGGUCCAUAUAUUUUAUAUGAAACUACUGGAAGCCAUGUUACCUAAUCAUUCAUGCAGGUGUCAAAAGCAAGGCGAUACCACAGCUACUGUUGUCUGAUGGGCAUU